RNAcentral lists this unclassified non-coding RNA (257 nucleotides) under Hevea brasiliensis (rubber tree). The record is from RNAcentral. Lineage: Eukaryota; Viridiplantae; Streptophyta; Magnoliopsida; Malpighiales; Euphorbiaceae.
ACUAUGUCGAGAAAGCCACCGAGACGCUGGUGGAAUCGCUGCGCACCAACGACCAGCGGGUCCGCGCCUUCCGCCUGAUGCAGAUGAAGGCCGCGAUCCGGUUCUGCGAGGUGAUGUUCGGCCCGGAUUACGCGUCGCUCAUGAGCAAGGCCGCCGAAAUGGCGCGGCCGGUCGAGCGCAAGGCGGCCGAGACCGCAAAGCCCGCCAAGCAGCCGCGCGCCGGUUGAUCUGGCGCUCUGCGGUUUAUUCCCAGAAUA